This 440-nucleotide ribosomal RNA is filed under the name uncultured bacterium. RNAcentral describes it as "partial 16S ribosomal RNA". It matches the Rfam family "Bacterial small subunit ribosomal RNA", at positions 338 to 795 of the family's 1533-position model. The record is from RNAcentral.
CCUACGGGUGGCAGCAGUGGGGGAUAUUGCACAAUGGGGGGAACCCUGAUGCAGCGACGCCGCGUGGGUGAAGAAGCGCCUCGGCGCGUAAAGCCCUGUCAGCAGGGAAGAAAAUGACGGUACCUGACGAAGAAGCACCGGCUAACUACGUGCCAGCAGCCGCGGUAAUACGGAGGGGGCAAGCGUUAUACGGAUUUACUGGGGGUAAAGGGGGCGCAGACGGCGAAGCAAGCCAGGAGUGAAAGCCUGGGGCUCAACCCCGGGACUGCUCUUGGAACUGUGUGUCUGGAGUGUAGGAGGGGUAGGCGGAAUUCUUGGUGUAGGGGUGAAAUGCGUAGAUAUCAGGAGGAACACCGGUGGCGAAGGCGGCCUGCUGGAAUGCAACUGACGUUGAGGCGCGAAAGCGUGGGGAGCAAACAGGAUUAGAUACCCGAGUAGUC